UGCAGAGUAUCAACAGCCAGCUCAGCCGUUAGCUUGUAGCCGCUAAUGAAAGGCGGCCGUUUAUGUUUGGACCGGCAGCGGGUCCCGUUCCGUGCAGGUUGAUGACUCGAAUCUCGACUCCAAUAGUCCAAUCUCUGAUGUUUUACACGGUCGUGUUGUACAGUGUUGUACAGGCCCAGGCACCAGGGCUUUCCUGAAGAGCAAUAUGUCAGCCCUUCACAUGCGCAUAUUUCUUCGCAAGAAUUAACAGUCUGAGUGUCUUCUUCACAUGCUGCUCACCCUUCGCGUUGUCACCAUCCAAACUCAAACAUGCAACCCACAGAAAUUGCAACCCAACCAUCACUGGGCUUCCCUGCCGUCAUCCAU
RNAcentral lists this long non-coding RNA (366 nucleotides) under Chlamydomonas reinhardtii. Its description in RNAcentral is "long non-coding RNA (CREI_LNC000654)". The record is from RNAcentral. Lineage: Eukaryota; Viridiplantae; Chlorophyta; Chlorophyceae; Chlamydomonadales; Chlamydomonadaceae.